This 335-nucleotide ribosomal RNA is filed under the name Eunicidae environmental sample. Its description in RNAcentral is "partial large subunit ribosomal RNA". It matches the Rfam family "Archaeal large subunit ribosomal RNA", at positions 2036 to 2590 of the family's 2987-position model. The record is from RNAcentral. Lineage: Eukaryota; Metazoa; Annelida; Polychaeta; Eunicida; Eunicidae.
GCGUAAUCAUUUGCCCCCUAAUUAGGGGCCUGUAUGAACGGGAAAACGAGAAUGGCACUGUCUCUCCUUCCACCUCUAUAACCUUAUCUCUAGGUGAAAAAGCCUAGAUAGUUAUAAAAGACAAAAAGACCCCGUCGAGCUUUAAUUUCUCUAUAACCAAAAUCCACCCCUAUAAGAAAUUUUCGUUGGGGCGACACGGGAAUACAAUAUCUUCCCCCACAUAUUAGACACCACGUCACACUACCUUAAAGACCCUCCCUCGAUAAUAGGAACCAGCUACCGCGGGGAUAACAGGCUAAUUUCCUGCACGAGCCCGCAUCUACCAGGAAGAUUGG